This 663-nucleotide ribosomal RNA is filed under the name uncultured bacterium. RNAcentral describes it as "bacterial SSU rRNA". It matches the Rfam family "Bacterial small subunit ribosomal RNA", at positions 735 to 1398 of the family's 1533-position model. The record is from RNAcentral.
CGUAACUGACGCUGAGGGACGAAAGCUAGGGGAGCGAAAGGGAUUAGAUACCCCUGUAGUCCUAGCUGUAAACGAUGGAUACUAGGUGUUGGAUGUAUCGACCCAUUCAGUACCGUAGCCAACGCGAUAAGUAUCCCGCCUGGGGAGUACGCACGCAAGUGUGAAACUCAAAGGAAUUGACGGGGGCCCGCACAAGCGGUGGAGUAUGUGGUUUAAUUCGAUGCAACGCGAAGAACCUUACCAGGGCUUGACAUCCCGCGAACCUUGAUGAAAGUUGAGGGUGCCUUCGGGAGCGCGGAGACAGGUGGUGCAUGGCUGUCGUCAGCUCGUGUCGUGAGAUGUUGGGUUAAGUCCCGCAACGAGCGCAACCCACGUCCUUAGUUGCCAUCAUUGAGUUGGGCACUCUGGGGAGACUGCCGGGGACAACUCGGAGGAAGGUGUGGAUGACGUCAAGUCAUCAUGCCCCUUACGUUCUGGGCUACACACGUACUACAAUGCUUCGGACAAAGGGCAGCGAACCUGCGAGGGUGAGCUAAUCUCAUAAACCGGGGCACAGUUCAGAUUGCAGGCUGCAACUCGCCUGCAUGAAGGAGGAAUCGCUAGUAAUCGCCGGUCAGCAUACGGCGGUGAAUACGUUCCCGGGCCUUGCACACACCGCCCGUC